This 462-nucleotide long non-coding RNA is filed under the name Cyanistes caeruleus (blue tit). RNAcentral describes it as "lncRNA (ENSCCEG00000024073.1)". The record is from RNAcentral. Lineage: Eukaryota; Metazoa; Chordata; Aves; Passeriformes; Paridae.
GGGGGCUGAGCCACUGCAAACCUUUUGUGUGACUUUGGGGGGCCCAGGGCUGCACAGAGUGCUCCAUGUGCUCAAACUUCUCUAUUCUUCAGCACACAGCAAUGUGUCCUUUGGGUUUUCUGAGCUGUAUAUCAUGUCCUGGUGCUUGAAAUCACAGAACCAGCUGAAUGCCAUUGUAAACUUGAAAAGAGCUACAAGGAGACUUAAUUUGAAAACAUAAAGGUCACUGAAGGCCUGACAAAUGGGAUGCCUUUGGCAAAAAUAUACUCGCUGACUUGAGCACCACCUCUGAAAAUGGAAACAAACCAAUGUGCUGAUACUGCAGAGCUGCUGAUUGACUGGAGCCCCUUUGUUCACACAGAAAUCACCCACGUGCUGAAAUUCACUGAUUUUCCAUUGAAUCUACAUCAGCUUCGUUCCUGCAGCCAUACUCACCCUGAGAGUCCCUCACACCUUCUUUGA